Molecule: ribosomal RNA, 331 nt
Filed under: uncultured bacterium
Lineage: Bacteria
Description: partial 16S ribosomal RNA
Rfam family: Bacterial small subunit ribosomal RNA
Source: RNAcentral
GGGCUUACACAAGCGGUGGAGCAUGUGGUUUAAUUCGAUACAACGCGCAAAACCUUACCAAUUUUUGACAUAGGAAAAGUAUUUUUGUUAUUAAAAAUCUCUUUUUUCUACAGGUGCUGCAUGGCUGUCGUCAGUUCGUGGCGUGAGCUGUUGGGGUUAAGUCCUAGAACGAACGCAACCCUCAGGUUCUUUGCUUUGAAUCAUUGAACCAACUGCCGUCUGAGAUAAGGAGGAAGGGGGGGACAACGUCAAGUCCGCAUGGCCCCUCAUGAAUUGGGCUACACACGUGCUACAAUGAUGAUGCCAAAAAGGAUGCAAGUUGGUAACACGG